AUGUUUCUUGCCAGUGGCAUCAGGUGGAAGGCUCCUGACCUCGCAGAAGAGGGGGGAAGGCCAGACACCCCGCGCCGUCCGCCCUUGACCCUGUGUGGAGGUAACGGGCACCCCCCCUUCUUUAGACAGUCGUGUGCUUGCCUGGAAUCAGUGCUGUUCCGGGCAGUCCCGGAACCCUGUUGUGAGGAGGGGGGUGCAGGGCGCGGCGGACAGGGAAGGGUCGGAGGGGAUCCCACAGGUCUGACUGCCUAAUGUGCCUGGAGAUCCUCCUUACCUUCCCGGGAUUCAGUUUCCUCUAAAGCAGGGAGAGUCAUUCUAAUUUCAAAACAUUAUUGUCAAAAUUAAAUGAGAUUAAAGGAGCAAAGCCCUCAGUGUGCUUAUCUCAUGCUGUGUAACUGCUGGUUGGGGCCACCUCUUUUCCUUUCCUCCUCCCUCCCUAGCUCUUCUUCCUCUGUCUCUUCCUCCCUCCUUUUCUGCCUCUCUUCUGUCCUCCAGCCCCUCCCCUAGCCGCUGUCCCCUUGCCUGGUGGGCUCAGAGGAGAGGAGGAAGAGCUGAUGCCAGGAAAGCCUUGGCACCAGCCCUCUACUACCAGGACAGGGAUCCCCAAACCUCCUUCCGGUUAGGCUGUGUCGGCGGGGAAGAGCCAGGGAGAGGAACCCCGGCAGCAGGUGACAGGGGCUGUUUGUCCUCACUGUCCAUCUCCCUGGGACUACAAAACAGAGUACCCCUCACGCAGUAGAAAGAGAAGAGAAUACAUGAACGACAAAACGUGGGGCAAAAGACUUCUGAGGCAGCAGCCGUUAACAAAGGGAAAGUCACUCUCCACACCAGGAAAUGACUCCUCCUGCCCCUUCCCAUCUGCAACCUGAGGCUGUUACUGCUGCCGGCUCACCCAUCCCAAGCAUUAAUUUUCUAUUAUGAGUAAAAUUAAUGAAUUUAGCCAAUUUCUGGUGCUCAUAAAGUUGUGCUUUUCAUUACCAAGGUUAACAGCCUGCUAGAGACGUGGGCUCCUGGCAGAGCGCCCACGAGGGAGCUGGGACUGGGCAGAAGCCACCUGCAGUCAGAAGAGAGAGGGCGGGGAGCAGGGCUGCUGGCAGUCCAUAUGUGCCUCUGGGCCUGGGUCCCUCCUCCUCCCCGAGAGCUCGCUGCUUCUUUCUCUAACCCACCCAACUCUC
RNAcentral lists this long non-coding RNA (1175 nucleotides) under Oryctolagus cuniculus (rabbit). RNAcentral's name for it is "lncRNA (ENSOCUG00000037562.1)". Lineage: Eukaryota; Metazoa; Chordata; Mammalia; Lagomorpha; Leporidae. The record is from RNAcentral.